This 916-nucleotide long non-coding RNA is filed under the name Medicago truncatula (barrel medic). RNAcentral's name for it is "lncRNA gene49948". Lineage: Eukaryota; Viridiplantae; Streptophyta; Magnoliopsida; Fabales; Fabaceae. The record is from RNAcentral.
UGGACAAUAUGAUCCAACAGCUUCCAGUCCCUUGUCUUCAACUGUGUCUACAACCUGUAUAAUGUAGAUGUUCCGAAACAUUUUCAUCAUUCUUUUAUGUUGCUAAAAUGUCAAUAUCAAUGAAACUUAAUAGAAUAAAGAGCAGAUAAAGAAAAUCAUACCCAAAGGCGUCGAAGAUUAGGACAAUGAACAAGAAGAUCAGUAAGAUCUUCACUGUCAACAAGAGCAUAACUAAAAUUCAAGAAAGUCAGAUUUGUGCAUGCAGAGUAUAGAACUUGGAGUUGGAUAUACUGUGCUGAUGCUGAAGCCACCCAUAAACCAGAAAGGGUGUGAAGACUCUUACAAUUUUUGAACGCGCUUUCGAGCUCUAAAUACUGCUGACAUGUCAGAUCUUGUGAAAAUGAGCCACUGCCAAGCUCACAUAACUGAGGGGCAAGAACAAGAAGUCUUUGAAACUGUUCAAGCGUUACGCUUUUGUUAACCUUCAAAGUCUUCAAUGAUUUGCACCUACCGACAAGUUUCUCAAGCGCAUCGAUAUUUACAUCAUUGUUUAGGUUAGCAAAGUUCAAUACUUCCAAUGAUGUAAAGCUUUCUGGGAAGCAACUCAACCAAUCACCACUUUUGUCAUCGAUGUCAUUCUCUUGUAUGUCAAGCUCGGUUAAAUUCCUGCAUCCAAGUAAUAUUCAGAAGAUGAUUUAUCCAAGUAAUACCAAAUUUUCAAAUCACUCGAUAUGAUGCUGUCAUUACUGAAGUUUUUCAGAUUCAUAGAAUGCUAGCAAAAUAGUGUAAUUGAUGUGAUCAACAAGUAUCACACUGCUUAUGCUUUCAAGGAUCAUAAAAUAAAGUUUGAAGACACGUAAAUCUUACUUGCAAUUAGCGGCAACUGCAGCCAAGCCAUCAGUGCUAAAUCCUUCAC